UACAGAGGUCCCAAGCGUUGUUCGGAUUCAUUGGGCGUAAAGGGUGCGUAGGCGGGUCUUUAAGUCAGGGGUGAAAUCCUGGAGCUCAACUCCAGAACUGCCUUUGAUACUGAAGAUCUUGAGUUCGGGAGAGGUGAGUGGAACUGCGAGUGUAGAGGUGAAAUUCGUAGAUAUUCGCAAGAACACCAGUGGCGAAGGCGGCUCACUGGCCCGAUACUGACGCUAAGGCACGAAAGCGUGGGGAGCAAACAGG
RNAcentral lists this ribosomal RNA (253 nucleotides) under uncultured bacterium. RNAcentral describes it as "partial 16S ribosomal RNA". It matches the Rfam family "Bacterial small subunit ribosomal RNA", at positions 524 to 776 of the family's 1533-position model. The record is from RNAcentral.